UACAGAGGCCUCGAGCGUUAGGCGGAAUCACUGGGCUUAAAGCGUGUGUAGGCGGACUUCUAAGUGCCUUGUGAAAUCCCACGGCUCACCCGUGGAACUGCUGGGCAUACUGGGAGUCUUGAGCCACCUAGGGGCGAGCGGAACAAAUGGUGGAGCGGUGAAAUGCGUAGAUAUCAUUUGGAACGCCAACGGAGAGAUCAGCUCGCUGGGGGUGUGCUGACGCUGAGACACGAAAGCCAGGGGAGCGAACGGG
Molecule: ribosomal RNA, 253 nt
Filed under: uncultured bacterium
Lineage: Bacteria
Description: partial 16S ribosomal RNA
Rfam family: Bacterial small subunit ribosomal RNA
Source: RNAcentral